This 1372-nucleotide ribosomal RNA is filed under the name uncultured bacterium. Its description in RNAcentral is "bacterial SSU rRNA". It matches the Rfam family "Bacterial small subunit ribosomal RNA", at positions 28 to 1381 of the family's 1533-position model. The record is from RNAcentral.
GAUGAACGCUGGCGGCGUGCCUAAUACAUGCAAGUCGAGCGAACGGACGAGAAGCUUGCUUUUCUGAUGUUAGCGGCGGACGGGUGAGUAACACGUGGAUAACCUACCUAUAAGACUGGGGUAACUUCGGGAAACCGGAGCUAAUACCGGAUAAUAUUUUGAACCGCAUGGUUCAAAAGUGAAAGACGGUCUUGCUGUCACUUAUAGAUGGAUCCGCGCUGCAUUAGCUAGUUGGUAAGGUAACGGCUUACCAAGGCAACGAUGCAUAGCCGACCUGAGAGGGUGAUCGGCCACACUGGAACUGAGACACGGUCCAGACUCCUACGGGAGGCAGCAGUAGGGAAUCUUCCGCAAUGGGCGAAAGCCUGGCGGAGCAACGCCGCGUGAGUGAUGAAGGUCUUCGGAUCGUAAAACUCUGUUAUUAGGGAAGAACAUAUGUGUAAGUAACUGUGCACAUCUUGACGGUACCUAAUCAGAAAGCCACGGCUAACUACGUGCCAGCAGCCGCGGUAAUACGUAGGUGGCAAGCGUUAUCCGGAAUUAUUGGGCGUAAAGCGCGCGUAGGCGGUUUUUUAAGUCUGAUGUGAAAGCCCACGGCUCAACCGUGGAGGGUCAUUGGAAACUGGAAAACUUGAGUGCAGAAGAGGAAAGUGGAAUUCCAUGUGUAGCGGUGAAAUGCGCAGAGAUGUGGAGGAACACCAGUGGCGAAGGCGACUUUCUGGUCUGUAACUGACGCUGAUGUGCGAAAGCGUGGGGAUCAAACAGGAUUAGAUACCCUGGUAGUCCACGCCGUAAACGAUGAGUGCUAAGUGUUAGGGGGUUUCCGCCCCUUAGUGCUGCAGCUAACGCAUUAAGCACUCCGCCUGGGGAGUACGACCGCAAGGUUGAAACUCAAAGGAAUUGACGGGGGCCCGCACAAGCGGUGGAGCAUGUGGUUUAAUUCGAAGCAACGCGAAGAACCUUACCAAAUCUUGACAUCCUUUGACAACUCUAGAGAUAGAGCCUUCCCCUUCGGGGGACAAAGUGACAGGUGGUGCAUGGUUGUCGUCAGCUCGUGUCGUGAGAUGUUGGGUUAAGUCCCGCAACGAGCGCAACCCUUAAGCUUAGUUGCCAUCAUUAAGUUGGGCACUCUAAGUUGACUGCCGGUGACAAACCGGAGGAAGGUGGGGAUGACGUCAAAUCAUCAUGCCCCUUAUGAUUUGGGCUACACACGUGCUACAAUGGACAAUACAAAGGGCAGCGAAACCGCGAGGUCAAGCAAAUCCCAUAAAGUUGUUCUCAGUUCGGAUUGUAGUCUGCAACUCGACUACAUGAAGCUGGAAUCGCUAGUAAUCGUAGAUCAGCAUGCUACGGUGAAUACGUUCCCGGGUCU